AAGGUUCUUACUAUAUCUAAUUAAAGUAAGAAGUAAAAGGGAAAUCGGUUCAAAUCCGAUGCGGUCCCGCCACUGUAAUUGCUAGUUUGGAGCUAUAUGCCACUGAAAUUUUCGGGAAGGCAGCUCAUAAACGUUAAUGCAUAAGCCAGGAGACCUGCCUUUAU
RNAcentral lists this non-coding RNA (164 nucleotides) under uncultured Solibacillus sp. Lineage: Bacteria; Bacillati; Bacillota; Bacilli; Caryophanales; Caryophanaceae. The record is from RNAcentral.